GGCGGGGUAGCUCAGUUGGUUAGAGCGCAGGAUUCAUAACCCUGAGGUCACGGGUUCAACUCCCGUCCCCGCUACCA
RNAcentral lists this transfer RNA (77 nucleotides) under Flavobacteriales bacterium. RNAcentral describes it as "tRNA-Met". It matches the Rfam family "tRNA". From Rfam's summary of the family: Transfer RNA (tRNA) molecules are approximately 80 nucleotides in length. Their secondary structure includes four short double-helical elements and three loops (D, anti-codon, and T loops). The record is from RNAcentral. Lineage: Bacteria; Pseudomonadati; Bacteroidota; Flavobacteriia; Flavobacteriales.